UUCCAUCUCAUAUUUAUUAAAGUAUCAAAAACACAAAAACCUCAUAAUAGAAAACAACGGUAAUAAAGUACCUGAUAAAUCAGAACAUACAUUAAAACAUGCAAUUCCUCUCACAUCUGUAAUAUCGUGAGCGCUUGUAAAACUUAGUACCACAACGAUAAUUGAUCCUGCAGAUGUUACACAAGUGAAAAAAAACAAAACAUAAUAAUAAUAAUAAUAUAUUUAUACAUAUAUAGUGCUAACAUGAUUAACAUACAUGCCAGUAAACGCCUGGAAAUAACAAAAGCCAAGGAAACAAAAAAUAAUACACGACGUGACGCCUGCGUCACACGUAAUAGAUACGGACAGGUUCUAUAUAGACCGUGGGAACCAGAGCGGUCAAUGACGAGCCUGGGGGCGACGUCCCCCCACAGCUUCCCUGUUCCAUUCGUUCUAAACCAUCCGCUGUUCCAUAGCAAAUCAGACUGCAGAGUUUGCACGCCCCCAAUCCGGUUUUCCUCUCUGCAAUGUGAUUGGCUGAGCUGUAGUGCACGCCCGCACCUAUUUGCACCCAAAAACGUAAGACGCGAAACACAAAGGAAUCUUCAUGUAUCAAAAACCGAUAUGCCAAUCUGAAUUGGUCAGACUGGUUGCCGCGGGUAACUGCUUUUUUUUUUUUUUGCCUUUAUUCACAAGACCUUUGGCUUCAGCGUGAAACGGGAACUAGGCAAUUACGUUUGGUAAGGGUAAGGCAGGAUAUGAACUCUUUACCGGCUGCCGGUCAGGGUCAAAGUGGCGCAGUUAAAGGGGUGGCAUAACAUGAUGGAUAACUGAGCUGCAAUACAAAAAAAAUGGCCUAUAGAGGCGCUGUUUCGGGGGGGAUACACUUUUUUCAUCUCAGACAACCCCUUUAGGAUACAUCCCUGUGCAAAAACCGCCGACAUCGCAUUACAAGUCUCUGACCACUGAAAUAAUUCUUGUCCGUACUGUGAGCAGCUAGGUAGGUGUCGACUCAACCGCAGCAAUACCAUGCACAACCUGAGGACAGGGGCGGCGCUGUUUUGAGAACUGCCUCGCGUAUCGCCUGCAAACAUACGGCUACACAAAUCCCGCGUGAAUAUAAUAAAAUAGUUCAUUUCGUUCCAGUUUAAAGCCGCCAUCCCCAUCGAAAAAGAACAAUAAAAACUUCCAUCUAACAUGUACUAAUACCGCAGUUCUGUUACAGAAUAUAAAGAGCUCAUACAUGUCAGGGCGGCACAUGGGGCCCCGCGGGGGGGUGGGGGUGGGGGGGGUCAUGGCGAUUCUUUGAGGUAAUUUCGGCUUUGUCAGCCUCACACAUGAAUGGAAAGACGCCGCAGGAUACGUGAAAUGUUGCGCAGAAUCUCUGAAGAUCUGGAUAUUGCUGAGAAAUUAAAUCUGGAUCCUCCCUUUAUAUCGGGCCUGGCCUGCUGACUAACGCGAGCCCCAGCUGGGAGUUGUAGUCCAUCAGAACUAAUACUUAUUUUUUUUGGGGGGAAAGGAUGAUAUUUAGUUUAAAGGGUAAGCAGCAAUGGGGGGAACAGUUGCCACAUUCAGCAGAGACAGUCAGCAAGGGUGCAGGAUCGGUCGCCAUAUUGAAUGGAGACCGUCAGCAAGGAAACCCAUCAAAGAAGUGAAAGGUCUAUGGGGAUCUGGGCUGGUAUUAGGGAAAAUGUAGCUCAGACGGGGUCCACUCUUCUCGACAACCUUACCCAUUAAGGAGGGAAUAUCUGACAACUUAACUACUGCAUGUCUAUGGGCAGAUUUAGUGUCGGAGAACUGUCUUUAGUGCACUGCCUGUUCCUUCAUAGCUAAUGUCUCAUUACAUCUGUCCCUGCGUGACUGAAACCAAGCAUUUUCUCUUCAUUAGCAGGACACUUACUGCAUUCUCUACUGGAGAUAUAUAUAUAUGUAUGUAGCAGAGCUGAAUUUGUCAGAUGUAGCAGAGGCAAUCUGUGGUUUUCAACUACUGCAUAAUUGCCAACAGUCCCAAAUUUGCAGGGACUGAACAAAAUUUUUAGAAACAGUCCCUGCAGGAAUUCAGGGGGUCCUAGGUCGAAAUGGAUGGGGCUUACGUAAGUACUGCCCUAUAAUUUGGUGGUUGUGU
This is a long non-coding RNA of Bufo bufo (common toad), 2104 nucleotides long. RefSeq lists it as uncharacterized. The record is from RefSeq and is a predicted model, not a curated record. NCBI's taxonomy places the organism in Eukaryota, Metazoa, Chordata, Amphibia, Anura, Bufonidae. The transcript is spliced from 3 exons.